CCUGCACAAAUUUGCUUGCUGGCAACCAUGUGAGAUGGGACUUUCUCCUCCUUGACUUUCGCCAUGAUUGUGAGGCCUUCCCAGCCAUGUGGAACUCUUCUUUCAUGGCAAUUUUCCCCCAGGAGGGAUUUCCCUGCAGUGGACCGCCUCCCCAGUGGUACCUUCAGCCAUCAGAACACCUCGCUUUAGAUCUGUGGGUCCCAAAUUUCAUCAAAUCCAAUGACCAUUUCUAUGAUCAUUCAUUCUGGGGGCAGCCCUCUGGCAUGUAAUGAGCAGUCCUAUGGAGAGGCCCAUGUGACAGUAGCCAUGCGAGUGACACUGGAAGUGAAACCUGCAGCUCCAGUCAAGCCUUUAGAAGACUGCAGCCCUGGCUGACAGCUUGACAGCAAACUCAUGAGAGACUCUCAGCUUGAACAACUCA
RNAcentral lists this long non-coding RNA (421 nucleotides) under Pan troglodytes (chimpanzee). Its description in RNAcentral is "lincRNA". The record is from RNAcentral. Lineage: Eukaryota; Metazoa; Chordata; Mammalia; Primates; Hominidae.